CACACUCAGGGAUGGGCCCCGAGGGUGCAUUUCCGGGCUCAAGGACCCCAGACGCUUGGGGCAGACAGCCUGUGCCGAACCGCCCCCCACUCCCCCGCCUCUCCCCAGCCCUCACCUUUCACAGGUGUAGCAUUCACAGUGCUCAUUCUUCUCACCGAAGAAGCCCUCUCCAUAGAAGCACGUCACCUCAUCCCCUGGCUCGAUGUCCCGGAGCACCUUCACGCAGGCUGCGUUCCCAUCUGCGGGCACAAACUGAGGGCCAAGCCUGCUCAGUGCCAGGACCUGGGCCCAGGCUUGGACUGACCCAUUCCCCAUGCCUGGCCAGGCACCCGGGCCCUGAGUGUCCUCUCCUGGAAUGGGGCAACAGCUGAGCCCCAAAAAGUGCCAUUCCAAGGCGGCUGCCCUGCCCAUGGCCUGUCCUUUGCCUGUAGCCCCUAGACAGUCCACCCAUUGGCUGUUUUCCACCCCUCCCUGCAGCAGGAUGAUCUAACCUGACCUUCUGGCAGUGUGCAGUGCCAGCAGUGGUGACCACUCCCUCCAGCCCCUGUGGUCUCAAGCCAAGCCCCGCCUCCUCUGCCACACCCAAUCCCCUCCCCUCCUCAGCUGCCUGCUCCCCGCCGAGGCCCGGCCUCUGCCUGCAAGGCCACCUCCCAUUAUGCCUCCACUCCGCAGCCCAAUCCAAGUGUGCUCUGGCCCUGCCUUUGGGAUCAUUCACCCAGGUGCUGUUCCACAGGCUCCUCCCGGGCCCCACACAGCCACACAUCCCUCCCUGUUCCCUGUCUAGGAGGGGGUAUGACCACUGUCCACCCAAGUGUCCACCUACCCAUCCACUCAAGCCUGACACUUGCCUGGGAGUGGCCUCGCCACCUGCCUACCUGACGGCCCCCAGCGCAACCAGCCAUUGCCUCCUGAGUGUGCCACCUCCUGCAUCCUCGUCUUCCUCCCAUCCCUGCGACCCCUGGGGGGUUAGCCCCUCCUCACCUGUUUGUGGCCACCCUGCCUCCAGCCUCUCCCCUUCCUGCCAAGCCUCCUGCACCUGGGCCUCCAGGGUGAUCUAAAAACCAAGCCUCCCAUUAUACACCCUGGGGGGAGUAUGUGGCACCCUGGCCCAGGCCACAAGGCCUUGCUGCCCAACCAAAGCCGUCACUGGGCACCCCCAGCCCUCUGGUGUGCCAUGUCCUGCUAGAUGCCCUCCUUUGCCCCCAAUUUUUCCCAGGGAAAUUCUGCUGCUUCUCCAUCAGUGCCCAGCAUGGCAUCGCUUCUGUGAAGCCAGAUGGAUCCGGAUCGCUGUCAAGCUGGCUGCCCUCUCCUGUGCUAAGGGUCGGUGGGAAGCCACAGGGAUAUGGGACAGCGUUUCGCUCUUGACUGACCAGAAGCCCCCUGCCCUGGGCUGCAGGUACCAUCCUUCCCGAAGGCCCACUCCUCCCGAGUCCCAGGGUCUCACCUUGCAGUUGGGUUUGCAGUCUGGAUCCGGUCAGGGCAAGAGAGAGAAGAGAGGUGGGUGAGCUCCGCGGCCCAGUCACAGAGCCCUCCCACGACACCCCUCCAGCCCCACCUGGCCCCACCCGUCCUGCCCCUCACCAUGGUUGAUGAAGGCGGCAGGGCCCAGCCACAGCUGAGCACUCCGCUUUCGGGUAGAGUACAUGAUGCUGAAGUCGUUCUCGCCGGCCCUCAGCAGCCCCUCGUCUGCCUCCCGCAGCUCUGCGAUGCAGCCCACCAGCAGCUCCAGCUUCUCAUUCUUCUUCCUGCCGAGAGGCCAGGGGGCAGGGCUGUGAGCAAUGCAUGGCGGGGGGGCGGGAACUGGGGCUCAGAGGCACCCGGGAAGCAGGGGCUCCCGUGUGCUGUUUGCUGCUGACUGAUUCUUCUUCCAUCUUUCUCUUUCCCUCCCGCCUGGGUCAGCUUCCCUGUUCCAGCCCACAGCCUCACAGGACCCUUCGGCUGAAAGCCUUCAGGAUAGCACAGACACAGCAGUGGCAGCCUCGCCGUGGGAGCCACUCUCAUUCCCAGCACCUCCGGAAUGAGCUGGGACCAGCUGGGACCAGCAGCUGCAUGCUGACUUGUCUGCAGCCCACCUCCUCACCGGACUGUGAACCCUGCAGGGGCAGGGUCUCCUCACCGCACUCAGGGGUUUCUAACACAUGGUGGGGGCUCCGGUCACGACGAGGAGCAAGGAAAGAACAGAGAGAUGAAGAAAACAACCCAAAACCCUAACGCGGACAGAGGGCCCGCCGUGUCCCCGCACCAGACGCCCGCGCCGCCGCCGCCGCCGCCGCUGC
Molecule: long non-coding RNA, 2276 nt
Organism: Saimiri boliviensis boliviensis (Bolivian squirrel monkey)
Lineage: Eukaryota; Metazoa; Chordata; Mammalia; Primates; Cebidae
Source: RefSeq, a predicted model, not a curated record